CCUACGGGAGGCAGCAGUGAGGAAUAUUGGUCAAUGGGCGCGAGCCUGAACCAGCCAAGUAGCGUGAAGGAUGACUGCCCUACGGGUUGUAAACUUCUUUUAUAAAGGAAUAAAGUGCGGCACGUGUGCCUUUUUGUAUGUACUUUAUGAAUAAGGCUCGGCUAACUCCGUGCCAGCCGCCGCGGUAAUACGGAGGAUCCGGGAGUGCUCCGGAUUUAUUGGGUUUAAAGGGAGCGUAGAUGGGUUGUUAAGUCAGUUGUGAAAGUUUGCGGCUCAAACGUAAAAUUGCAAUUGAUACUGGCAGUCGUGAGUACAGGUGAGGUAGGCGGAAUUCGUGGUGUAGCGGGGAGAUGCUUAGAUAUCACGAAGAACGCCGAGUGCGAAGGCAGCUUACUAAACUGCCAAUGACAGUGAUGCUCGAAAGUGUGGGUAUCAAACAGGAUGAGAUACCCGGGUAGUC
RNAcentral lists this ribosomal RNA (460 nucleotides) under uncultured bacterium. RNAcentral's name for it is "partial 16S ribosomal RNA". It matches the Rfam family "Bacterial small subunit ribosomal RNA", at positions 338 to 795 of the family's 1533-position model. The record is from RNAcentral.